Molecule: long non-coding RNA, 1351 nt
Organism: Amphiprion ocellaris (clown anemonefish)
Lineage: Eukaryota; Metazoa; Chordata; Actinopteri; Pomacentridae
Exons: 3
Source: RefSeq, a predicted model, not a curated record
UUCAUUCAUACCUUUUGCUUUGUACAUUUUUCGCCUAACAGUGAACACUUUCAGGUUGAAGAUGUGGCUGAUGCACAGUCUCUGAUGUUGUUGGCUGAUGAAGUUAUAAACUGUGGAUACACAAGCCAGAUCAAGCUGGAUAAUAAGGAAAACAUCAUUCAGUAACAAAAACAACUGCCAUUUAAAUAUUUUUACUUUUUAAACCAAUAUUUGAUUUUUGUGUUCUUUCUUUCAUAGUCCUAUUGUCUUGCACUCUACAACAAGACUGAUUCCAAUGCUUCAGCAAAUGAGAAAGGGCAUGGAGCUGUAUGGUCUGGUCAAUCAGAUGGCUACAAAUCCUGAAGCUUGCCAUGCUUUGUUCCAGGGAAGAUCAUCAAACCAGAUGCUGAUUUCAUAAUGAUGAACUGCCAACCACAUUUCAGUGAAAAGGGGACAUCUCGGGAGAGAACUGAGAGAAAGAUCAUAAACUUUAUGUAAGAUUUUUGCCAGGAGCUUGAAAUAUCAGGUGAGGAGGAAGACAGUGCUGCAGCUGAGGAGUCACACUCUCUUGGAGUUCAGCAUGUGCUCCAAUGGUUGACCGGGCAAUCCCACAUUCCCAUCCUCCCUGAUGAAAAGAGACAUUUUAAAAUAACAUGCAUGUUUGACCAUGACUGCAGGGAGCGGCUUGGAAAUCACUCCAUUUGUUACCCAUUUGUGAGUUCAUGCACUCGUACAGUAAUUUUUCCAGUACAGCAUCUCAACACUUACACUGAGUUCAGAAGAAUUAUGAGUGAAGCAGUUAGAUAUGGUGGUGGCUUAUACAGAGUUUAACAGAAAUAGCUCUCUUGUCAUCUUAAACAAAAAAUAAGAUGUUUCUAAACAUUAACUGAUAGAAUGUUCAUUGCUAACGAAAAAAGCAAAACAAUUGUUCCCGUUAGCCCAGACAGUGUUUGACUUUCUUUCUCUUCAGUCAUAUAAAUUCCCUUUAUACAGGGUUCUCUGCUUGCAUUAGUUAGAAAAGCUUCAAUAAUUUUUGUCACUGUGCUGGAAGUCCAUAUUUGUUGACUUUCAAGUUCCUGUCCAAAUGUCUAUUGGUUGGACACCUGUUGCAAGAAUCUUAUGUAUAAAUCACGACCAUGUGACUCUGAAUGUUCCAGAGGGUUGAUAGUUCUCUGAAGUUCUUCCAGGGCUUCGUUAUACAGUGGGCACUCAACUUCAGGAACCACAACUAUGCCGUUAGAGUCUUCUUGCAGCACAGCACUCUCCCAGUCAAUGCCUGGGUCCUGAAGAUCCUUUAAAUUCAGAAAACAAAACAUAUCAGUCAGGACUGGAUACUUGUUGAGAUAUUGUUUUUGUGUUUGUGUGAGUGUUU